UUAAGCGACUAAGCGUACACGGUGGAUGCCCUGGCAGUCAGAGGCGAUGAAGGACGUGCUAAUCUGCGAUAAGCGUCGGUAAGGUGAUAUGAACCGUUAUAACCGGCGAUUUCCGAAUGGGGAAACCCAGUGUGUUUCGACACACUAUCAUUAACUGAAUCCAUAGGUUAAUGAGGCGAACCGGGGGAACUGAAACAUCUAAGUACCCCGAGGAAAAGAAAUCAACCGAGAUUCCCCCAGUAGCGGCGAGCGAACGGGGAGCAGCCCAGAGCCUGAAUCAGUGUGUGUGUUAGUGGAAGCGUCUGGAAAGGCGCGCGAUACAGGGUGACAGCCCCGUACACAAAAAUGCACAUACUGUGAGCUCGAUGAGUAGGGCGGGACACGUGGUAUCCUGUCUGAAUAUGGGGGGACCAUCCUCCAAGGCUAAAUACUCCUGACUGACCGAUAGUGAACCAGUACCGUGAGGGAAAGGCGAAAAGAACCCCGGCGAGGGGAGUGAAAAAGAACCUGAAACCGUGUACGUACAAGCAGUGGGAGCCUCUUAAUGGGGUGACUGCGUACCUUUUGUAUAAUGGGUCAGCGACUUAUAUUCUGUAGCAAGGUUAACCGAAUAGGGGAGCCGAAGGGAAACCGAGUCUUAACUGGGCGUUAAGUUGCAGGGUAUAGACCCGAAACCCGGUGAUCUAGCCAUGGGCAGGUUGAAGGUUGGGUAACACUAACUGGAGGACCGAACCGACUAAUGUUGAAAAAUUAGCGGAUGACUUGUGGCUGGGGGUGAAAGGCCAAUCAAACCGGGAGAUAGCUGGUUCUCCCCGAAAGCUAUUUAGGUAGCGCCUCGUGAAUUCAUCUCCGGGGGUAGAGCACUGUUUCGGCAAGGGGGUCAUCCCGACUUACCAACCCGAUGCAAACUGCGAAUACCGGAGAAUGUUAUCACGGGAGACACACGGCGGGUGCUAACGUCCGUCGUGAAGAGGGAAACAACCCAGACCGCCAGCUAAGGUCCCAAAGUCAUGGUUAAGUGGGAAACGAUGUGGGAAGGCCCAGACAGCCAGGAUGUUGGCUUAGAAGCAGCCAUCAUUUAAAGAAAGCGUAAUAGCUCACUGGUCGAGUCGGCCUGCGCGGAAGAUGUAACGGGGCUAAACCAUGCACCGAAGCUGCGGCAGCGACACUAUGUGUUGUUGGGUAGGGGAGCGUUCUGUAAGCCUGUGAAGGUGUACUGUGAGGUAUGCUGGAGGUAUCAGAAGUGCGAAUGCUGACAUAAGUAACGAUAAAGCGGGUGAAAAGCCCGCUCGCCGGAAGACCAAGGGUUCCUGUCCAACGUUAAUCGGGGCAGGGUGAGUCGACCCCUAAGGCGAGGCCGAAAGGCGUAGUCGAUGGGAAACAGGUUAAUAUUCCUGUACUUGGUGUUACUGCGAAGGGGGGACGGAGAAGGCUAUGUUGGCCGGGCGACGGUUGUCCCGGUUUAAGCGUGUAGGCUGGUUUUCCAGGCAAAUCCGGAAAAUCAAGGCUGAGGCGUGAUGACGAGGCACUACGGUGCUGAAGCAACAAAUGCCCUGCUUCCAGGAAAAGCCUCUAAGCAUCAGGUAACAUCAAAUCGUACCCCAAACCGACACAGGUGGUCAGGUAGAGAAUACCAAGGCGCUUGAGAGAACUCGGGUGAAGGAACUAGGCAAAAUGGUGCCGUAACUUCGGGAGAAGGCACGCUGAUAUGUAGGUGAAGUCCCUUGCGGAUGGAGCUGAAAUCAGUCGAAGAUACCAGCUGGCUGCAACUGUUUAUUAAAAACACAGCACUGUGCAAACACGAAAGUGGACGUAUACGGUGUGACGCCUGCCCGGUGCCGGAAGGUUAAUUGAUGGGGUUAGCGGUAACGCGAAGCUCUUGAUCGAAGCCCCGGUAAACGGCGGCCGUAACUAUAACGGUCCUAAGGUAGCGAAAUUCCUUGUCGGGU
Molecule: ribosomal RNA, 1949 nt
Filed under: metagenome
Description: bacterial LSU rRNA
Rfam family: Bacterial large subunit ribosomal RNA
Source: RNAcentral